AAGCGACCCCAGGUCAGGCGGGAACACCCGCCGAGUUUAA
This 40-nucleotide ribosomal RNA is filed under the name Salaciopsis glomerata. RNAcentral's name for it is "partial 26S ribosomal RNA". The record is from RNAcentral. Lineage: Eukaryota; Viridiplantae; Streptophyta; Magnoliopsida; Celastrales; Celastraceae.